GAAAUACAAUAAAAUUAAAGCUUCUAACUUUAAAAUUAAGCGAUCAUACGUUUAUAUUUCU
RNAcentral lists this transfer RNA (61 nucleotides) under Phyllotreta foudrasi. RNAcentral's name for it is "tRNA-Ser". The record is from RNAcentral. Lineage: Eukaryota; Metazoa; Arthropoda; Insecta; Coleoptera; Chrysomelidae.